RNAcentral lists this ribosomal RNA (229 nucleotides) under uncultured bacterium. Its description in RNAcentral is "partial 16S ribosomal RNA". It matches the Rfam family "Bacterial small subunit ribosomal RNA", at positions 568 to 796 of the family's 1533-position model. The record is from RNAcentral.
UACGUAGGCGGAAGCGGCAGUGUCUUGUGAAAUCCCACGGCUCAACCGUGGAACUGCAGGGCAUACUUCGUUUCUUGAGGUCGGUAGAGGUUGCCGGAACUGUAGGUGUAGCGGUGAAAUGCGUAGAUAUCUACAGGAACGCCAAAGGAGAAGUCAGGCAACUGGGCCGAUUCUGACGCUGAGGUACGAAAGCGUGGGGAGCAAACAGGAUUAGAUACCCUGGUAGUCC